CCCUCCCUUCCCCCACCCCAUCAGGAUGAUAUGAGACUUGAAAGAAGACGAUGCAUACAGAAUCUUCUGAAUAUUGAAAACAGAGAACUAUACUGGAAGAACAUAGUGUAUUAAGACUCAUGGAGAGGGAGAUGUGAUACUGUGUCACUGAGGUCGUUCCAGUCAUAGGAGAAAUGUUACCACUGGAUUGAGGAGGAGAGACUUCAGCAUGCAAACCUUCAUCU
This 224-nucleotide small RNA is filed under the name Pan troglodytes (chimpanzee). Its description in RNAcentral is "processed transcript". The record is from RNAcentral. Lineage: Eukaryota; Metazoa; Chordata; Mammalia; Primates; Hominidae.